GCUCCCUUCGUCUAGUGGCCUAGGACACCAGCCUUUCACGUUGGGUACACGGGUUCGAAUCCCGUAGGGAGCGCCA
Molecule: transfer RNA, 76 nt
Filed under: Erythrobacter sp.
Lineage: Bacteria; Pseudomonadati; Pseudomonadota; Alphaproteobacteria; Sphingomonadales; Erythrobacteraceae
Also listed under: 1 other name
Description: tRNA-Glu
Rfam family: tRNA
About the family: Transfer RNA (tRNA) molecules are approximately 80 nucleotides in length. Their secondary structure includes four short double-helical elements and three loops (D, anti-codon, and T loops).
Source: RNAcentral